GAUGUUGGAUAUAUGUUUCGAGCCUCGAUUCCCUCCCCUCGCGGUCUGCAUCCACCGCGCCUCGGCGAUGGGACGCUCCACGGUUGCCCGUUUUUUCGGUCUUCCCUGGGGACCUUCGCCGGGCAAGACGGAUGAGGCGGUGCACCACCGAUUCUCGGCACCAGGACGUUGUGGCUAUCCUAAUUGGAAGGUCGCAUCAUCCUAAUGCCGGAAGAGGCGGUCGUGUCGUGACAACCGGCCUGAGAAUGAAACGGUGGGSGAAUGUCUGCCUUAUUGUUAUCGCGUUGGGUUUGUUGGAUAUGGAAAUCACGGUGUGCCCACCRUGUCAUCGGCUAGAAGCUGUCUGGCUGCUGCAAGGCUGCCAGUUCUUCCACGUCGUUGGCGAAUGGGUGCAAAUUGUCGGAUACGGGAAUCACGGUGCGCCCACCGUGUCACCGGCGAGGAGCAUUCUGGCGGCCGGAAGGCUGCUGGUUCUUCCACGUCGUUGGCGAAUGGGUGCAACAAUAUGGGAUAUAGUGCCUGUUCUCGCGCUCUGUGGACUUUCGGUCGUCGUCUUCAUAGCAGACCCGUUGUGCUAAGC
Molecule: unclassified non-coding RNA, 580 nt
Filed under: Triodia aff. birriliburu
Lineage: Eukaryota; Viridiplantae; Streptophyta; Magnoliopsida; Poales; Poaceae
Description: partial external transcribed spacer
Source: RNAcentral